UACGGAGGGUGCAAGCGUUAAUCGGAAUUACUGGGCGUAAAGCGUGCGUAGGUGGUUGAUUAAGUUAUCUGUGAAAUCCCCGGGCUUAACCUGGGCAGGUCAGAUGAUACUGAUUGACUCGAGUAUGGGAGAGGGUAGUGGAAUUUCCGGUGUAGCGGUGAAAUGCGUAGAGAUCGGAAGGAACACCAGUGGCGAAGGCGGCUACCUGGCCUAAUACUGACACUGAGGCACGAAAGCGUGGGGAGCGAACAGG
RNAcentral lists this ribosomal RNA (253 nucleotides) under uncultured bacterium. RNAcentral's name for it is "partial 16S ribosomal RNA". It matches the Rfam family "Bacterial small subunit ribosomal RNA", at positions 524 to 776 of the family's 1533-position model. The record is from RNAcentral.